This 498-nucleotide ribosomal RNA is filed under the name uncultured bacterium. Its description in RNAcentral is "bacterial SSU rRNA". It matches the Rfam family "Bacterial small subunit ribosomal RNA", at positions 36 to 518 of the family's 1533-position model. The record is from RNAcentral.
CUGGCGGCGUGCCUAACACAUGCAAGUCGAACGGAGAUUUAACGCUGAUGAAGCUUCGGCAGAUUCUGUUAAAUCUAGUGGCGGACGGGUGAGUAACGCGUGGGCAACCUGCCUCAUACUGGGGGAUAACAGCUGGAAACGACUGUUAAUACCGCAUAAGCGCACAGCAUCGCAUGAUGCAGUGUGAAAAACUCCGGUGGUAUGAGAUGGGCCCGCGUCAGAUUAGCCAGUUGGCAGGGGUAACGGCCUACCAAAGCGACGAUCUGUAGCCGGCCUGAGAGGGCGGACGGCCACAUUGGGACUGAGACACGGCCCAAACUCCUACGGGAGGCAGCAGUGGGGGAUAUUGCACAAUGGAGGAAACUCUGAUGCAGCGACGCCGCGUGAAGUGAAGAAGUAUUUCGGUAUGUAAAGCUCUAUCAGCAGGGAAGAAAGACUCGUAAGAGAGAUGACGGUACCUGACUAAGAAGCCCCGGCUAACUACGUGCCAGCAGCCGC